RNAcentral lists this ribosomal RNA (483 nucleotides) under uncultured bacterium. Its description in RNAcentral is "partial 16S ribosomal RNA". It matches the Rfam family "Bacterial small subunit ribosomal RNA", at positions 30 to 507 of the family's 1533-position model. The record is from RNAcentral.
AUUGAACGCUGGCGGCAGGCCUAACACAUGCAAGUCGAGCGGAUGAAGGGAGCUUGCUCCUGGAUUCAGCGGCGGACGGGUGAGUAAUGCCUAGGAAUCUGCCUGGUAGUGGGGGAUAACGUCCGGAAACGGGCGCUAAUACCGCAUACGUCCUGAGGGAGAAAGUGGGGGAUUUUCGGACCUCACGCUAUCAGAUGAGCCUAGGUCGGAUUAGCUAGUUGGUGGGGUAAAGGCCUACCAAGGCGACGAUCCGUAACUGGUCUGAGAGGAUGAUCAGUCACACUGGAACUGAGACACGGCCCAGACUCCUACGGGAGGCAGCAGUGGGGAAUAUUGGACAAUGGGCGAAAGCCUGAUCCAGCCAGGCCGCGUGUGUGAAGAAGGUCUUCGGAUUGUAAAGCACUUUAAGUUGGGGGGAAGGGCAGUAAGUUAAUACCUUGCUGUUUGACGUUACCAACAGAAUAAGCACCGGCUAACUUCGUG